AUGGCUGCGUCUCACCCAAGCACAGAAAUGGCUGCGUCGCCGAUGGUGCGGCCGACGGUGCAGGAGCUGGCGGCGGCCGGCGCCGAGGAGCCGCCGCGGCAGUACGUGCUGCCGGAGCAAGACCGUCACGGCGACCUGCUGGCCGCCGACGAGUUUCCGGAGCCCAUCCCCCUCGUCGACCUUAGCCGGCUCACGGACGCCGACGAGGCCGAGAGGCUCCGGGCGGCUCUGCAGACCUGGGGCUUCUUCCUGGCCACCAACCAUGGGAUCGAGGACUCUCUCAUGGACGCCAUGACGAGCGUGUCGAGGGAGUUCUUCCGGCAGCCGGCGGAGGAGAGGCAGAAAUGCAGCAACCUGGUGGACGGCAACGGCAAGGACUACCAGGUGGAAGGGUAUGGCAGUGACAAGGUGGUGUCCGACGAUCAGGUCCUCAACUGGAGCGACCGGUUGCAUCUGAGAGUGGAGCCGGAGGAUGAGAGGAAUUUCGCCAAGUGGCCCAGUCACCCCGAAUCUUUCAGGGAUGUGCUACAAGAGUAUGCAUCAAGAAUCAAGAAAAUAAGAGACCUCGUCUUACGGUCGAUAGCCAAGCUCCUGGAGAUUGACGAGGACUACUUCGUCAACCAGAUAUCAAACAAGGCCCCCGGGUUUGCUAGAUUCAACUACUACCCUCCAUGUCCGAGGCCUGACCUAGUUUUGGGCCUCAGGGCUCACUCCGACGGUGGUCUCCUUACCAUCCUUUUCAACGAUGACACCGUCGGUGGCUUGCAAGUUCAGAGAGAUGGGAGAUGGUACAAUGUUCCAGCAAAGCCUCACACAUUGCUGAUUAACCUAGCAGACUGCCUAGAAAUAAUGAACAAUGGAAUCUUUACGAGCCCGGUUCACAGAGUGGUGACGAACGUCGAGAAGGAUAGGCUUUCCUUGGCUGUGUUUUACGCCGUGGAUGCAGAAACGAUGUUGGAGCCAGCGCCCGGUUUGCUGGAUGACAAGCGACCGCCAAGAUAUAAGAAAAUGGUGGCCAAGGAUUUUGUGGCUGGGCUCUUUGAACAUUUCCGUCAAGGGAAGAGAUUCAUUGACACCCUGAAAAUAUAG
RNAcentral lists this ribosomal RNA (1089 nucleotides) under Triticum aestivum (bread wheat). Its description in RNAcentral is "partial small subunit ribosomal RNA". The record is from RNAcentral. Lineage: Eukaryota; Viridiplantae; Streptophyta; Magnoliopsida; Poales; Poaceae.